CAAGUCGAGCGACAGAUAAGGAGCUUGCUCCUUUGACGUUAGCGGCGGACGGGUGAGUAACACGUGGGUAACCUACCUAUAAGACUGGGAUAACUUCGGGAAACCGGAGCUAAUACCGGAUAACAUUUGGAACCGCAUGGUUCUAAAGUGAAAGAUGGUUUUGCUAUCACUUAUAGAUGGACCCGCGCCGUAUUAGCUAGUUGGUAAGGUAACGGCUUACCAAGGCGACGAUACGUAGCCGACCUGAGAGGGUGAUCGGCCACACUGGAACUGAGACACGGUCCAGACUCCUACGGGAGGCAGCAGUAGGGAAUCUUCCGCAAUGGGCGAAAGCCUGACGGAGCAACGCCGCGUGAGUGAUGAAGGGUUUCGGCUCGUAAAACUCUGUUAUUAGGGAAGAACAAAUGUGUAAGUAACUGUGCACGUCUUGACGGUACCUAAUCAGAAAGCCACGGCUAACUACGUGCCAGCAGCCGCGGUAAUACGUAGGUGGCAAGCGUUAUCCGGAAUUAUUGGGCGUAAAGCGCGCGUAGGCGGUUUCUUAAGUCUGAUGUGAAAGCCCACGGCUCAACCGUGGAGGGUCAUUGGAAACUGGGAAACUUGAGUGCAGAAGAGGAAAGUGGAAUUCCAUGUGUAGCGGUGAAAUGCGCAGAGAUAUGGAGGAACACCAGUGGCGAAGGCGACUUUCUGGUCUGUAACUGACGCUGAUGUGCGAAAGCGUGGGGAUCAAACAGGAUUAGAUACCCUGGUAGUCCACGCCGUAAACGAUGAGUGCUAAGUGUUAGGGGGUUUCCGCCCCUUAGUGCUGCAGCUAACGCAUUAAGCACUCCGCCUGGGGAGUACGACCGCAAGGUUGAAACUCAAAGGAAUUGACGGGGACCCGCACAAGCGGUGGAGCAUGUGGUUUAAUUCGAAGCAACGCGAAGAACCUUACCAAAUCUUGACAUCCUUUGAAAACUCUAGAGAUAGAGCCUUCCCCUUCGGGGGACAAAGUGACAGGUGGUGCAUGGUUGUCGUCAGCUCGUGUCGUGAGAUGUUGGGUUAAGUCCCGCAACGAGCGCAACCCUUAAGCUUAGUUGCCAUCAUUAAGUUGGGCACUCUAGGUUGACUGCCGGUGACAAACCGGAGGAAGGUGGGGAUGACGUCAAAUCAUCAUGCCCCUUAUGAUUUGGGCUACACACGUGCUACAAUGGACAAUACAAAGGGCAGCUAAACCGCGAGGUCAUGCAAAUCCCAUAAAGUUGUUCUCAGUUCGGAUUGUAGUCUGCAACUCGACUACAUGAAGCUGGAAUCGCUAGUAAUCGUAGAUCAGCAUGCUACGGUGAAUACGUUCCCGGGUCUUGUACACACCGCCCGUCACACCACGAGAGUUUGUAACACCCGAAGCCGGUGGAGUAACCAUU
Molecule: ribosomal RNA, 1403 nt
Filed under: Staphylococcus saprophyticus
Lineage: Bacteria; Bacillati; Bacillota; Bacilli; Caryophanales; Staphylococcaceae
Description: bacterial SSU rRNA
Rfam family: Bacterial small subunit ribosomal RNA
Source: RNAcentral